AUUUUUAUCUUUCCCUGUGCUUUAUAUCAUCCUCCUUUACCCUCUCUUUCUCCAUGCAAACCAUGGAAGCAAAGGAAAAAGAAAAGCUUUCAAGCAACAAGAAACCAAACCACAUGCUUCCACAGUGUCAGCCAGGACUGAUGCAUGGGAACUCCUAUGUGACAGUGGAUUCUUCAUCUUAAUUUGGUGCUAUCCUACCUGAGCUUUCUUUUAUUCCUUCUUUAAUUAAUUAUAUAUAUAUAUAUAUAUAUAUAUAUAUAUAUAUAUUCUUCUUGACCUUGUAAGACCUUUAGGUGACCUUAUACCACCCAAUCCAGUGCUUGUCCUUAUAGCAGAAUCACCCUAUUUUCCCACCCCAUUGCUUCCAAUCUCUCCUUCACCUUUCUUGUCUAUCCCUCCUGAGCUGUAAAAUUACUAUUAUUACUAUUAAGAACAAUAAAAGCUCUCACUUUCCUGUUUAGGGUUAAGUGCUUGAAGGCCACCAUGAACUGGAUUUGUUAUUGUAUGUGCAGAGA
Hibiscus syriacus is the source of this 515-nucleotide long non-coding RNA. RefSeq lists it as uncharacterized. The transcript has 2 exons. The record is from RefSeq and is a predicted model, not a curated record. NCBI's taxonomy places the organism in Eukaryota, Viridiplantae, Streptophyta, Magnoliopsida, Malvales, Malvaceae.